ACCAGACUCCUACGGGAGGCAGCAGUGGGGGAUAUUGCACAAUGGGGGGAACCCUGAUGCAGCGACGCCGCGUGGGUGAAGAAGCGCCUCGGCGCGUAAAGCCCUGUCAGCAGGGAAGAAAAUGACGGUACCUGAAGAAGAAGCCCCGGCUAACUAUGUGCCAGCAGCCGCGGUAAUACGUAGGGGGCAAGCGUUAUCCGGAUUUACUGGGUGUAAAGGGGGCGCAGACGGCGAUGCAAGCCAGGAGUGAAAGCCCGGGGCCCAACCCCGGGACUGCUCUUGGAACUGCGUGGCUGGAGUGCAGGAGGGGCAGGCGGAAUUCCUGGUGUAGCGGUGAAAUGCGUAGAUAUCAGGAGGAACACCGGUGGCGAAGGCGGCCUGCUGGACUGCAACUGACGUUGAGGCCCGAAAGCGUGGGGAGCAAACAGGAUUAGAUACCCUGGUAUC
RNAcentral lists this ribosomal RNA (447 nucleotides) under uncultured bacterium. RNAcentral's name for it is "partial 16S ribosomal RNA". It matches the Rfam family "Bacterial small subunit ribosomal RNA", at positions 330 to 794 of the family's 1533-position model. The record is from RNAcentral.